UUAAACUGAAGAGUUUGAUCCUGGCUCAGAUUGAACGCUGGCGGCAUGCCUUACACAUGCAAGUCGAACGGCAGCACGGAGCUUGCUCUGGUGGCGAGUGGCGAACGGGUG
RNAcentral lists this ribosomal RNA (111 nucleotides) under Janthinobacterium psychrotolerans. RNAcentral describes it as "Janthinobacterium sp. S3-2 partial 16S ribosomal RNA". It matches the Rfam family "Bacterial small subunit ribosomal RNA", at positions 1 to 108 of the family's 1533-position model. The record is from RNAcentral. Lineage: Bacteria; Pseudomonadati; Pseudomonadota; Betaproteobacteria; Burkholderiales; Oxalobacteraceae.